Molecule: ribosomal RNA, 253 nt
Filed under: uncultured bacterium
Lineage: Bacteria
Description: partial 16S ribosomal RNA
Rfam family: Bacterial small subunit ribosomal RNA
Source: RNAcentral
UACGGAGGUUGCAAGCGUUAUCCGGAUUUACUGGGUUUAAAGGGUGCGUAGGCGGGCUUUUAAGUCAGCGGUGAAAUCUCCGGGCUCAACCCGGAAAUUGCCGUUGAUACUAUUAGUCUUGAAUAAUGUUGAGGUGGGCGGAAUGUGUCAUGUAGCGGUGAAAUGCUUAGAUAUGACACAGAACACCGAUUGCGAAGGCAGCUCGCUAAACAUUUAUUGACGCUGAGGCACGAAAGCGUGGGGAUCAAACAGG